CAGUCGCCGCGGUAAUACGUAGGUCCCGAGCGUUGUCCGGAUUUAUUGGGCGUAAAGCGAGCGCAGGCGGUUAGACAAGUCUGAAGUUAAAGGCUGUGGCUUAACCAUAGUACGCUUUGGAAACUGUUUAACUUGAGUGCAAGAGGGGAGAGUGGAAUUCCAUGUGUAGCGGUGAAAUGCGUAGAUAUAUGGAGGAACACCGGUGGCGAAAGCGGCUCUCUGGCUUGUAACUGACGCUGAGGCUCGAAAGCGUGGGGCGCAAACAGGAUUAGAUACCCGGGUAGUCCCUGUCUCUUAUACA
This 301-nucleotide ribosomal RNA is filed under the name uncultured bacterium. RNAcentral's name for it is "partial 16S ribosomal RNA". It matches the Rfam family "Bacterial small subunit ribosomal RNA", at positions 509 to 808 of the family's 1533-position model. The record is from RNAcentral.